AAUAGAUACCCAGGUAGUCCACGCCGUAAACGAUGUCGACUUGGAGGUUGUUCCCUUGAGGAGUGGCUUCCGGAGCUAACGCGUUAAGUCGACCGCCUGGGGAGUACGGCCGCAAGGUUAAAACUCAAAUGAAUUGACGGGGGCCCGCACAAGCGGUGGAGCAUGUGGUUUAAUUCGAUGCAACGCGAAGAACCUUACCUACUCUUGACAUCCAGAGAACUUAGCAGAGAUGCUUUGGUGCCUUCGGGAACUCUGAGACAGGUGCUGCAUGGCUGUCGUCAGCUCGUGUUGUGAAAUGUUGGGUUAAGUCCCGCAACGAGCGCAACCCUUAUCCUUUGUUGCCAGCGGUUAGGCCGGGAACUCAAAGGAGACUGCCAGUGAUAAACUGGAGGAAGGUGGGGAUGACGUCAAGUCAUCAUGGCCCUUACGAGUAGGGCUACACACGUGCUACAAUGGCGCAUACAAAGAGAAGCGACCUCGCGAGAGCAAGCGGACCUCAUAAAGUGCGUCGUAGUCCGGA
Molecule: ribosomal RNA, 520 nt
Filed under: uncultured bacterium
Lineage: Bacteria
Description: bacterial SSU rRNA
Rfam family: Bacterial small subunit ribosomal RNA
Source: RNAcentral